ACACGCCUGGGAUGUACGCGGGCUUUUAUUAUGUCUAACCUACAUUUUUUAUAGGGAGCUUGAUUUGAUUCUGAUGGAUGUGCGCCUCGGCGGAGACUGAAGUCAGACUUAGAGCACCCACCUGCUAGUCGCAGGUUUUAGGCAUGAAAAGCGUACGGCAUUUCGGACCCCUG
This 173-nucleotide non-coding RNA is filed under the name Selenomonas sp. WCT3. Its description in RNAcentral is "6S / SsrS RNA". It matches the Rfam family "6S / SsrS RNA". From Rfam's summary of the family: E. coli 6S RNA was the first non coding RNA to be sequenced, but its function was unknown until recently. It consists of 184 nucleotides that fold into an extended hairpin structure with a large single-stranded internal bulge. The 6S RNA specifically associates with RNA polymerase holoenzyme containing the sigma70 specificity factor. The record is from RNAcentral. Lineage: Bacteria; Bacillati; Bacillota; Negativicutes; Selenomonadales; Selenomonadaceae.